RNAcentral lists this ribosomal RNA (432 nucleotides) under Clostridium sp. P12 PV-2008. RNAcentral describes it as "bacterial SSU rRNA". It matches the Rfam family "Bacterial small subunit ribosomal RNA", at positions 1 to 437 of the family's 1533-position model. Lineage: Bacteria; Bacillati; Bacillota; Clostridia; Eubacteriales; Clostridiaceae. The record is from RNAcentral.
CUGAGUUUGAUCCUGGCUCAGGACGAACGCUGGCGGCGUGCCUAACACAUGCAAGUCGAGCGAUGAAGUUCCUUCGGGAAUGGAUUAGCGGCGGACGGGUGAGUAACACGUGGGUAACCUGCCUCAUAGAGGGGAAUAGCCUUCCGAAAGGAAGAUUAAUACCGCAUAAUGUAGUACCUUCGCAUGAAGGAACUAUCAAAAGAGCAAUCUGCUAUGAGAUGGACCCGCGGCAGCAUUAGCUAGUUGGUGAGGUAACGGCUCACCAAGGCGACGAUGCGUAGCCGACCUGAGAGGGUGAUCGGCCACAUUGGAACUGAGACACGGUCCAGACUCCUACGGGAGGCAGCAGUGGGGAAUAUUGCGCAAUGGGGGAAACCCUGACGCAGCAACGCCGCGUGAAUGAAGAAGGCCUUCGGGUUGUAAAGUUCUGUC